GACGAACGCUGGCGGCGUGCUUAACACAUGCAAGUCGAACGGAAAGGCCCUGCUUUUGUGGGGUGCUCGAGUGGCGAACGGGUGAGUAACACGUGAGUAACCUGCCCUUGACUUUGGGAUAACUUCAGGAAACUGGGGCUAAUACCGGAUAGGAGCUCCUGCUGCAUGGUGGGGGUUGGAAAGUUUCGGCGGUUGGGGAUGGACUCGCGGCUUAUCAGCUUGUUGGUGGGGUAGUGGCUUACCAAGGCUUUGACGGGUAGCCGGCCUGGGAGGGUGACCGGCCACAUUGGGACUGAGAUACGGCCCAGACUCCUACGGGAGGCAGCAGUGGGGAAUAUUGCACAAUGGGCGGAAGCCUGAUGCAGCAGCGCCGCGUGCGGGAUGACGGCCUUCGGGUUGUGAACCGCUUUCGCCUGUGACGAAGCGUGAGUGACGGUAAUGGGUAAAGAAGCACCGGCUAACUACGUG
RNAcentral lists this ribosomal RNA (468 nucleotides) under uncultured bacterium. Its description in RNAcentral is "partial 16S ribosomal RNA". It matches the Rfam family "Bacterial small subunit ribosomal RNA", at positions 28 to 507 of the family's 1533-position model. The record is from RNAcentral.